This is a long non-coding RNA of Octopus sinensis (East Asian common octopus), 468 nucleotides long. RefSeq lists it as uncharacterized. The transcript has 3 exons. The record is from RefSeq and is a predicted model, not a curated record. NCBI's taxonomy places the organism in Eukaryota, Metazoa, Mollusca, Cephalopoda, Octopoda, Octopodidae.
UAUAAACUUGCUUGAGCUCAUGACAGCAUAUCAUCUUGUAGGAGUGGGUCCUGAGACCCUCCUUCAGCUCUUGAUACAUUGAUGUUCAGCUUAUUUUUGCUGUGACAGCCAGUUUUUUGACAGAAUGACGAAGAUUUUGCUGUAUCUUUUCUCUGGUACUUUUGAUAGGCUGAGGGGUCUGCACACUUCUUUUUGACUAUGUCCAUGUUGAUCAGCAGUGGAACAAGUCUCUUGAAAUUUCUUGACAAUUUUCCUAACUGUUGUUUGGUUAAUUUCAAGCUUUUUUUGCUAUAGCUGUAUUACUUUCACUCCUGUUGUAGAGGGUUAUGGUUGUAUUUCUGUCUAUAGCCAUUAUCCAUUUUAUAAAUCUGAAUUUAUUUAGUCUGAAACAAAAAGAAGACACAUGAAGCUUUUAUAAUGAAGUAUGAUUCUCAUAUCGUAUAACAUUUAUUGAUAGUUUUUAAAGCC